CUACGGGUCGCUCCAGUGGGGAAUAUUGCACAAUGGGGGAAACCCUGAUGCAGCAACGCCGCGUGGAGGAUGACGCAUUUCGGUGUGUAAACUCCUUUUAUAUAGGAAGAUAAUGACGGUACUAUAUGAAUAAGCACCGGCUAACUCCGUGCCAGCAGCCGCGGUAAUACGGAGGGUGCAGGCGUUACUCGGAAUCACUGGGCGUAAAGCGCGCGCAGGCGGCCUUUUAAGUUGGAUGUGAAAGCCUAUGGCUUAACCAUAGAACUGCAUCCUAAACUAUCAGGCUAGAGUCUGGGAGGGGAAGAUGGAAUUAGUUGUGUAGGGGUAAAAUCCGUAGAGAUAACUAGGAAUACCAAAAGCGAAGGCGAUCUUCUGGAACAGUACUGACGCUGAGGCGCGAAAGCGUGGGGAGCAAACAGGAUUAGAUACCCUAGUAGUC
This 439-nucleotide ribosomal RNA is filed under the name uncultured bacterium. Its description in RNAcentral is "partial 16S ribosomal RNA". It matches the Rfam family "Bacterial small subunit ribosomal RNA", at positions 339 to 795 of the family's 1533-position model. The record is from RNAcentral.